GAUGAAGAACGCAGCGAAAUGCGAUAAGUAAUGUGAAUUGCAGAAUUCAGUGAAUCAUCGAAUCUUUGAACGCACAUUGCGCCGGCCAGUAUUCUGGCGAGCAUGCCUGUUCGAGCGUCAUUUCAACCAUCAAGCCCCAGGCUUGUGUUGGAGCCCUGCGGCUGCCGCAGCCUCCCAAAACCAGUGGCGGGCUCGCUAUCACACCGAGUGCAGUAGUUUACUCUUCGCUCAGGGCGUGUGGCGGGUGCUAGCCGUGAAACCCCCAACUUCUCAAGGUUGACCUCGGAUCAGGUAGGAAUACCCGCUGAACUUAAGCAUAUCAAUAGCGGAGGA
This 333-nucleotide unclassified non-coding RNA is filed under the name soil metagenome. RNAcentral describes it as "partial contains 5.8S ribosomal RNA, internal transcribed spacer 2, and large subunit ribosomal RNA". The stretch from base 1 to 120 matches the Rfam family "5.8S ribosomal RNA", at positions 35 to 154 of the family's 154-position model. The record is from RNAcentral.